RNAcentral lists this long non-coding RNA (182 nucleotides) under Dasypus novemcinctus (nine-banded armadillo). Its description in RNAcentral is "lncRNA (ENSDNOG00000051072.1)". Lineage: Eukaryota; Metazoa; Chordata; Mammalia; Cingulata; Dasypodidae. The record is from RNAcentral.
UCCCGACAGAUUUGUUUUGUGCUCUGUGGCUUACAAGGAGCAGAGACUUGGAAAAGGAAGGACCCCUUCAAAGCAGAGAGAAAGAGACAGGAUGAAGACCUGGGGUGCUGAGCCACGUGCUGAGCCAAGGCGAGUGUGACCUCAUGUUCUCACCUGGGCUAAGCCCAGGUGGGAAGCUGGCA